Oncorhynchus tshawytscha (Chinook salmon) is the source of this 2111-nucleotide long non-coding RNA. Lineage: Eukaryota; Metazoa; Chordata; Actinopteri; Salmoniformes; Salmonidae. The record is from Ensembl.
CAGCCUUCACAUCCUCUUCAUCAUCAUCAUUAAGACAUCCCCCAGCACCAGCCUUCACAUCCCCCAGCACCAGCCUCAUCAUCAUCAUCAUCAUCAUCAUGAAGACAUCCCCCCAGCACCAGCCUUCACAUCCUCUUCAUCAUCAUCAUUAAGACAUCCCCCCAGCCUUCACAUCCUCUUCAUCAUCAUCAUCAUCAUUAAGACAUCCCCCAGCACCAGCCUUCACAUCCUCUUCAUCAUAACCAUUCAGACAUCCCCCCAGCACCAGUCUUCACAUCCUCUUCAUCAUCAUCAUUAAGACAUCCCCCCACCCAGACUUCACAUCCUCUUCAUCAUCAUCAUUAAGACACCCCCAGCACCAGCCUUCACAUCCUCUUCAUCAUCAUCAUCAUCAUCAAGACAUCCCCCCAGCACCAGCCUUCACAUCCUCUUCAUCAUCAUCAUUAAGACAUCCCCCACCCAGCACCAGCCUUCACAUCCUCUUCAUCAUCAUCAUUAUGACAUCCCCCAGCACCAGCUUUCACAUCCUCUUCAUCAUCAUCAUUAAGACACCCCCCCAGCACCAGCCUUCACAUCAUCAUCAUCAUUAAGACAUCCCCCCCAGCACCAGCCUUCACAUCCUCUUCAUCAUCAUGACGUGAUAUAAGGAGCUAUGACGUGUUAUAAGGAGAAGCUAUGAUGUGUUAUAAGGAGAAGCUAUGAUGUGUUAUAAGGACAAGCUAUGAUGUGUUAUAAGGAGGAGCUAUGAUGUGUUAUAAGGAGAAGCUAUGAUGUGUUAUAAGGAGAAGCUAUGAUGUGUUAUAAGGAGAAGCUAUGACGUGUUAUAAGCUAUGACGUGUUAUAAGGAGAAGCUAUGAUGUGUUAUUAGGAGCUAUGACGUGUUAUAAGGAGAAGCUAUGAUGUGUUAUUAGGAGGAGCUAUGAUGUGUUAUAAGGAGAAGCUAUGAUGUGUUAUAAGGAGAAGCUAUGAUGUGUUAUAAGGAGAAGCUAUGAUGUGUUAUAAUGAGAAGCUAUGACGUGUUAUAAGGAGAAGCUAUGAUGUGUUAUUAGGAGCUAUGGCGUGUUAUAAGGAGCUAUGAUGUGUUAUAAUGAGAAGCUAUGACGUGUUAUAAGGAGAAGCUAUGAUGUGUUAUAAGGAGCUAUGAUGUGUUAUAAUGAGAAGCUAUGACGUGUUAUAAGGAGCUAUGAUGUGUUAUAAGGAGCUAUGACGUGUUAUAAGAAGCUAUGACGUGUUAAGCUAUGAUAGGUUAUAACACAUGACGUGUUUUAAGAAGCUACGAUGUGUUAUAAGGAGCUAUGAUGUGUUAUAACCUGUGUUAUAAGAAGCUAUGAUGUGUUAUAAGGAGCUAUGAUGUGUUAUAAGAAGCUAUGAUGUGUUAUAAGAAGCUAUGAUGUGUUAUAACGUGUUAUAAGAAGCUGUGGUGUGUUAUAACGUGUUAUAAGGAGCUAUGACGUGUUAUAAGGAGCUAUGAUGUGUUAUAAGAAGCUAUGACGUGUUAUAACGUGUUAUAAGAAGCUAUGACGUGUUAUAAGGAGCUAUGACGUGUUAUAAGAAGCUAUGACGUGUUAUAAGGAGCUAUGACGUGUUAAGCUAUGAUAGGUUAUAACACAUGACGUGUUUUAAGAAGCUACGAUGUGUUAUAAGGAGCUAUGAUGUGUUAUAAGAAGCUAUGAUGUGUUAUAAGAAGCUAUGAUGAGCUAUGACGUGUUAUAAGGAGCUAUGACGUGUUAUAAGGAGCUAUGAUGUGUUAUAAGAAGCUAUGAUGUGUUAUAACGUGUUAUAAGAAGCUAUGAGGUGUUAUAACGAGCUAUGAUGUGUUAUAACGUGUUAUAAGGAGCUAUGACGUGUUAUAACGUGUUAUAAGGAGCUAUGACGUGUUAUAACGUGUUAUAAGGAACUAUGACGUGUUAUAACGUGUUAUAAGGAGCUAUGACGUGUUAUAACGUGUUAUAAGGAGCUAUGACGUGUUAUAACGUGUUAUAAGGAGCUAUGACGUGUUAUAACGUGUUAUAAGGAGCUAUGACGUGUUUUAAGGAGCUACGACGUGUUAUAAGAAGCUAUAAGCGUUCAUACACUGGUUCAUAUUCCAAUGCAUAUUUAAUAAACCAUCG